Ursus americanus (American black bear) is the source of this 1650-nucleotide long non-coding RNA. The record is from Ensembl. NCBI's taxonomy places the organism in Eukaryota, Metazoa, Chordata, Mammalia, Carnivora, Ursidae.
AUGCACUCCCGGCGUGGACGGCGCCAUCGACUGUCACCAGGGCCAGUGCCUCGUGCAGAGGAGCGGUCCUGCUUGCCGCUGCUUCUCCACGGACACGCACUGGUUCUCGGGCCCGCGCUGCGAGGUGGCCGUCGCCUGGAGGGCAGUGGUCGGCGGCAUGGUGGGGGUCGUGGUUCUGCCGCUGCUGCUGCUGGCGUCCCUGAGCCUCUUUGUUGCCCGCUCCCGCUCCCGGAGAGGUGGCCAAGGUGGNAGACACGCACUGGUUCUCGGCCCGCGCUGCGAGGUGGCCGUCGCCUGGAGGGCAGUGGUCGGCGGCAUGGUGGGGGUCGUGGUUCUGCCGCUGCUGCUGCUGGCGUCCCUGAGCCUCUUUGUUGCCCGCUCCCGCUCCCGGAGAGGUGGCCAAGGUGGAGGCCGGUGAGAGCGCUGGGGGUGGGGGUGAGGGUGGCAAAGGGGUCCCAGCUGGGGCGGCCCUGCUCUGACGGUGCGGUGCGUCGCCCGGCCUCAGGUCCUGGGACGAUGACAGGAGAUGGUUCGAGAUCUGGGAUGAGGAAACUGUGGGAACUUUUUCAAACUUGGGCUUGGAGGACGACUGAACGGUCAAGGAUGAACACUUCCAGGUGGCCUUGGAGAAUGCGGACACCAGUGUGAGGGUGCAUCUCCAGAGACUGGAGGUUGGCCUCGUCCUUACUGUGAGCCCCGCACGUCCCCCUCCACCCUGCCCCAGACAGUGAGAAGAAACCGUCCGAACCGCAUCCAUCUCAGGGUACGGCCCACGGACUUGCGCAGCUCUCGCCUGGGUUCCUUGAGCAAACUCAGACCGUUUCCCUGACCCUCAUCCUUCUCCCGACUUGGGAGAAACUCACCUGGAGACCCAGUUCAAAUCCAGGCUCUUGCACUGUGGGACCUUGGCCGAGUCAGUAACUUCUCUGAGCCUGUCAGAGGAGUAGAGCAUACUUGUCCUGAUACCUCGUAGGGUUACUGUGAAAACCAGACAUGCCGUCAGAUCUCCGUCCCAAGGCACCUUCCCAUGUCAGCCCUCAUGCUUAUGUGGUCUCUCGGGGAUCCCCACAUCCUUCAGGGGUCUCGGACCUCAGUCUGUUCUCCUGUGUGCAUCCCUACACUGUUCCCCACCUGCACCUGUGCCCAUCCUCCUACCUGCUCCAUAUGGAACUCCUUGUGGCACCCCUUGCUCCCACCCUUAAGUCUCCCCGUAUGAACCCACCUCUUAAACGACUCCCCAGCCCAGCGCCCAGCCCCAGGUCUCCCCCAGUUUGUCACUUUCCCCAUCCUUACAAUCUCAGCCCUAAAUUCUUACCGCCCCCCCAAUCCCAGGCCCCAGUCUUAAAUCCUCCCUCCUCCCUCCAUACCCCAUUCCGAGCCAGGUGUGGGUGUCCUCUGCCUCUCAGGCCCCCCGGCUGGUACUUCCCAGGCCCUGGUCCCCCAUUCUGAGGCUCCAUUCCUUCUUCUCGAUCCCAAAGUCCCAGGAUCCCGGUUUUCCGAGGCCUCAAGGAGGAGCAGAAGCCGGGCCCUGAGAUGGAGAAGCUCCGUCGGCCCUUUGUCCUCAUUCCCCUCUCUUCCCAUCCCCUACUACCUCACCCUCCCCGCCCUUCCCCACCCUUCCCUGUCUGGCCUCACGCCCAUCCCCACAGU